UGGUCCAGGAAGUGGUGCUGUCCAUCUCAGAAGUACAAUGACAAGACAAGAAAAAGGUGUGUUCCAGAAGACAAAGACAGAAAAGAAGGGAGAGACCAGCUUGGAAGGACCAGGAGAAGAUAAAGGCCUGAUGGCCUGCUAUCUUGCUUUUUAUGAGGGAAGGGCUUCUUCACCUCCAGACACCCUUGAGCUCCAGCGCGACUCCGGCUUUCCCUUUGCAGCUCAGAAUCUGAACAAUGGUGAACAAAUCCCUUACACUCUCUAGCCUCUUUCUAAAGCAGGUGUCGUGGUAUGACUCACUUCCCCAGAUACAGCACUUGGUCUAGACAUCUCUGGAGCUUUUAAAGAGAAACUGAAAUGCUUGUGAAAAAGAAGCUAUGUGAGGGGAAAGAAAAAGAGAGCGAGACUGUGUGCAAGCACCCUCAUUUGUAUCUGCGCAACUGAAGACAAGAUGGAGGAACCGGGGAUGGGGGAGUGGGACAAUGCAUAAUUCACAUAAAAUGUUACAUGGUAAAAGAG
Molecule: long non-coding RNA, 519 nt
Filed under: Chinchilla lanigera (long-tailed chinchilla)
Lineage: Eukaryota; Metazoa; Chordata; Mammalia; Rodentia; Chinchillidae
Description: lncRNA (ENSCLAG00000026843.1)
Source: RNAcentral